Molecule: small RNA, 88 nt
Filed under: Arabidopsis thaliana (thale cress)
Lineage: Eukaryota; Viridiplantae; Streptophyta; Magnoliopsida; Brassicales; Brassicaceae
Description: ATSL236940
Source: RNAcentral
AAUAUAUAUAACUUUAACUUCUUUUUUUUUAAGUCUUCAUACGCUGCGAACGAUCAAAAUAUAUUUACAAAUUUACGACCAAUAUUUU